This 440-nucleotide ribosomal RNA is filed under the name uncultured bacterium. Its description in RNAcentral is "partial 16S ribosomal RNA". It matches the Rfam family "Bacterial small subunit ribosomal RNA", at positions 338 to 795 of the family's 1533-position model. The record is from RNAcentral.
CCUACGGGCGGCAGCAGUGGGGAAUAUUGGACAAUGGGGGGAACCCUGAUCCAGCGACGCCGCGUGAGUGAAGAAGUAUUUCGGUAUGUAAAGCUCUAUCAGCAGGGAAGAAAAUGACGGUACCUGACUAAGAAGCCCCGGCUAACUACGUGCCAGCAGCCGCGGUAAUACGUAGGGGGCAAGCGUUAUCCGGAUUUACUGGGUGUAAAGGGAGCGUAGACGGUACAGCAAGUCUGAUGUGAAAGCUCCGUGCCCAACCCCGGGACUGCAUUGGAAACUGGUGAACUGGAGUACAUGAGAGGUAAGCGGAAUUCCUAGUGUAGCGGUGAAAUGCGUAGAUAUCAGGAGGAACACCAGUGGCGAAGGCGGCUUACUGGCACGUAACUGACGUUGAGGAUCGAAAGCGUGGGGAGCAAACAGGAUUAGAUACCCUUGUAGUC